AACGAACGCUGGCGGCAUGCCUAACACAUGCAAGUCGAACGAGACCUUCGGGUCUAGUGGCGCACGGGUGCGUAACGCGUGGGAACCUGCCCUUAGGUUCGGAAUAACUCCCCGAAAGGGGUGCUAAUACCGGAUAAUGUCUUCGGACCAAAGAUUUAUCGCCUUUGGAUGGGCCCGCGUUGGAUUAGCUAGUUGGUAGGGUAAAAGCCUACCAAGGCGACGAUCCAUAGCUGGUCUGAGAGGAUGAUCAGCCACACUGGGACUGAGACACGGCCCAGACUCCUACGGGAGGCAGCAGUGGGGAAUAUUGGACAAUGGGCGAAAGCCUGAUCCAGCAAUGCCGCGGGAGUGAUGAAGGCCUUAGGGUUGUAAAGCUCUUUUACCCGGGAUGAUAAUGACAGGACCGGGAGAAUAAGCUCCGGCGAACUCCGU
RNAcentral lists this ribosomal RNA (432 nucleotides) under uncultured bacterium. Its description in RNAcentral is "partial 16S ribosomal RNA". It matches the Rfam family "Bacterial small subunit ribosomal RNA", at positions 29 to 506 of the family's 1533-position model. The record is from RNAcentral.